GUCAUAAUUCCAUGCUGCCCUGAGGAUCUUUCUGCCUUCCUUAUAUAAUCCAAUGUUUGUUUACUCUCAUUGCUCUGGAGAUGAUGCUGCAAUGCCUAGGAACAUCUACCCACAGGGAGUGCUGUUCCAGCAAGAAAAGACUAUCCAUGGAAAUCCUCUUAGCAUACAAGUGUCUCAAAAGGCAGAGACAGGAAUGCAAUAGCACACAAGGAAGCUCAUCCAUAGUGACUCUGCCUCCAGUGAGGACCUGAGAUUUAUACUUGCAUUGACUAAAGGCUGCUACAGAAUGAACGGAGAUGAAGAGAGGGAGAAAGUGUCACGUGGCAACCCAUGGAUGGACCCAGUUCAGCAAGGUCCUGAUGGAGAAGAUGAACUUUCAGCAUGGUUUAUACCAGACUCAGUGAAGCUGUUCAUAACCAGAUCUGUGCCAGCAAACAAAACAAUAGGCAGGAUAAGA
Long non-coding RNA from Neopsephotus bourkii (Bourke's parrot), 457 nucleotides. RefSeq lists it as uncharacterized. NCBI's taxonomy places the organism in Eukaryota, Metazoa, Chordata, Aves, Psittaciformes, Psittacidae. The record is from RefSeq and is a predicted model, not a curated record. The transcript is spliced from 2 exons.